GACGUAGGGCGCGAGCGUUGUCCGGAUUUAUUGGGCGUAGAGAGCUCGUAGGCGGUUUGUUGCGUCGGCUGUGAAAACCCAUGGCUUAACUGUGGGCUUGCAGCCGAUACGGGCAGACUAGAGUUCGGUAGGGGAGACUGGAAUUCCUGGUGUAGCGGUGAAAUGCGCAGAUAUCAGGAGGAACACCAAUUGCGAAGGCAGCUCGCUGGGACGUUACUGACGCUGAGACGCGAAAGCGUGGGGAGCAAACAGG
Molecule: ribosomal RNA, 253 nt
Filed under: uncultured bacterium
Lineage: Bacteria
Description: partial 16S ribosomal RNA
Rfam family: Bacterial small subunit ribosomal RNA
Source: RNAcentral